RNAcentral lists this microRNA precursor (153 nucleotides) under Dasypus novemcinctus (nine-banded armadillo). Its description in RNAcentral is "miRNA (ENSDNOG00000026401.1)". The stretch from base 50 to 101 matches the Rfam family "mir-1302 microRNA precursor family". The record is from RNAcentral. Lineage: Eukaryota; Metazoa; Chordata; Mammalia; Cingulata; Dasypodidae.
AAUAUAGGAUGACCAGUUAAAUUUGUAUUUCAGAUAACCAAUGAAUUUUUUUAAAGUAUCAGUAUGUCCCGUGCAAUAUUUGGGACAUACUUACACUAAAUGAAUUAUUGUAGUUUAUCAGGAAUUCAAAUUUAAUUGGGCAUCCUGUAUUUU